UUAAGCGACUAAGCGUACACGGUGGAUGCCCUGGCAGUCAGAGGCGAUGAAGGACGUGCUAAUCUGCGAUAAGCGUCGGUGAGGUGAUAUGAACCGUUAUAACCGGCGAUUUCCGAAUGGGGAAACCCAGUGUGUUUCGACACACUAUCAUUAACUGAAUCCAUAGGUUAAUGAGGCGAACCGGGGGAACUGAAACAUCUAAGUACCCCGAGGAAAAGAAAUCAACCGAGAUUCCCCCAGUAGCGGCGAGCGAACGGGGAGGAGCCCAGAGCCUGAAUCAGUGUGUGUGUUAGUGGAAGCGUCUGGAAAGGCGYGCGAUACAGGGUGACAGCCCCGUACACAAAAAUGCACAYAYUGUGAGCUCGAUGAGUAGGGCGGGACACGUGGUAUCCUGUCUGAAUAUGGGGGGACCAUCCUCCAAGGCUAAAUACUCCUGACUGACCGAUAGUGAACCAGUACCGUGAGGGAAAGGCGAAAAGAACCCCGGCGAGGGGAGUGAAAAAGAACCUGAAACCGUGUACGUACAAGCAGUGGGAGCCUCUUAAUGAGGUGACUGCGUACCUUUUGUAUAAUGGGUCAGCGACUUAUAUUCUGUAGCAAGGUUAACCGAAUAGGGGAGCCGAAGGGAAACCGAGUCUUAACUGGGCGUUAAGUUGCAGGGUAUAGACCCGAAACCCGGUGAUCUAGCCAUGGGCAGGUUGAAGGUUGGGUAACACUAACUGGAGGACCGAACCGACUAAUGUUGAAAAAUUAGCGGAUGACUUGUGGCUGGGGGUGAAAGGCCAAUCAAACCGGGAGAUAGCUGGUUCUCCCCGAAAGCUAUUUAGGUAGCGCCUCGUGAAUUCAUCUCCGGGGGUAGAGCACUGUUUCGGCAAGGGGGUCAUCCCGACUUACCAACCCGAUGCAAACUGCGAAUACCGGAGAAUGUUAUCACGGGAGACACACGGCGGGUGCUAACGUCCGUCGUGAAGAGGGAAACAACCCAGACCGCCAGCUAAGGUCCCAAAGUCAUGGUUAAGUGGGAAACGAUGUGGGAAGGCCCAGACAGCCAGGAUGUUGGCUUAGAAGCAGCCAUCAUUUAAAGAAAGCGUAAUAGCUCACUGGUCGAGUCGGCCUGCGCGGAAGAUGUAACGGGGCUAAACCAUGCACCGAAGCUGCGGCAGCGACACUAUGUGUUGUUGGGUAGGGGAGCGUUCUGUAAGCCUGUGAAGGUGGCCUGUGAGGGUUGCUGGAGGUAUCAGAAGUGCGAAUGCUGACAUAAGUAACGAUAAAGCGGGUGAAAAGCCCGCUCGCCGGAAGACCAAGGGUUCCUGUCCAACGUUAAUCGGGGCAGGGUGAGUCGACCCCUAAGGCGAGGCCGAAAGGCGUAGUCGAUGGGAAACAGGUUAAUAUUCCUGUACUUGGUGUUACUGCGAAGGGGGGACGGAGAAGGCUAUGUUGGCCGGGCGACGGUUGUCCCGGUUUAAGCGUGUAGGCUGGUUUUCCAGGCAAAUCCGGAAAACCAAGGCUGAGGCGUGAUGACGAGGCACUACGGUGCUGAAGCGACAAAUGCCCUGCUUCCAGGAAAAGCCUCUAAGCAUCAGGUAACAUCAAAUCGUACCCCAAACCGACACAGGUGGUCAGGUAGAGAAUACCAAGGCGCUUGAGAGAACUCGGGUGAAGGAACUAGGCAAAAUGGUGCCGUAACUUCGGGAGAAGGCACGCUGAUAUGUAGGUGAAGCGACUUGCUCGUGGAGCUGAAAUCAGUCGAAGAUACCAGCUGGCUGCAACUGUUUAUUAAAAACACAGCACUGUGCAAACACGAAAGUGGACGUAUACGGUGUGACGCCUGCCCGGUGCCGGAAGGUUAAUUGAUGGGGUUAGCGGUAACGCGAAGCUCUUGAUCGAAGCCCCGGUAAACGGCGGCCGUAACUAUAACGGUCCUAAGGUAGCGAAAUUCCUUGUCGGGUAAGUUCCGACCUGCACGAAUGGCGUAAUGAUGGCCAGGCUGUCUCCACCCGAGACUCAGUGAAAUUGAACUCGCUGUGAAGAUGCAGUGUACCCGCGGCAAGACGGAAAGACCCCGUGAACCUUUACUAUAGCUUGACACUGAACAUUGAGCCUUGAUGUGUAGGAUAGGUGGGAGGCUUUGAAGUGUGGACGCCAGUCUGCAUGGAGCCGACCUUGAAAUACCACCCUUUAAUGUUUGAUGUUCUAACGUUGGCCCGUAAUCCGGGUUGCGGACAGUGUCUGGUGGGUAGUUUGACUGGGGCGGUCUCCUCCUAAAGAGUAACGGAGGAGCACGAAGGUUGGCUAAUCCUGGUCGGACAUCAGGAGGUUAGUGCAAUGGCAUAAGCCAGCUUGACUGCGAGCGUGACGGCGCGAGCAGGUGCGAAAGCAGGUCAUAGUGAUCCGGUGGUUCUGAAUGGAAGGGCCAUCGCUCAACGGAUAAAAGGUACUCCGGGGAUAACAGGCUGAUACCGCCCAAGAGUUCAUAUCGACGGCGGUGUUUGGCACCUCGAUGUCGGCUCAUCACAUCCUGGGGCUGAAGUAGGUCCCAAGGGUAUGGCUGUUCGCCAUUUAAAGUGGUACGCGAGCUGGGUUUAGAACGUCGUGAGACAGUUCGGUCCCUAUCUGCCGUGGGCGCUGGAGAACUGAGGGGGGCUGCUCCUAGUACGAGAGGACCGGAGUGGACGCAUCACUGGUGUUCGGGUUGUCAUGCCAAUGGCACUGCCCGGUAGCUAAAUGCGGAAGAGAUAAGUGCUGAAAGCAUCUAAGCACGAAACUUGCCCCGAGAUGAGUUCUCCCUGACUCCUUGAGGGUCCUGAAGGAACGUUGAAGACGACGACGUUGAUAGGCCGGGUGUGUAAGCGCAGCGAUGCGUUGAGCUAACCGGUACUAAUGAACCGUGAGGCUUAACCUU
This 2902-nucleotide ribosomal RNA is filed under the name Escherichia coli. Its description in RNAcentral is "bacterial LSU rRNA". The record is from RNAcentral. Lineage: Bacteria; Pseudomonadati; Pseudomonadota; Gammaproteobacteria; Enterobacterales; Enterobacteriaceae.